RNAcentral lists this long non-coding RNA (16408 nucleotides) under Brassica rapa (field mustard). RNAcentral's name for it is "long non-coding RNA (BRAP_LNC007380)". Lineage: Eukaryota; Viridiplantae; Streptophyta; Magnoliopsida; Brassicales; Brassicaceae. The record is from RNAcentral.
CACCGCACUGCUUUCGCUUUUUAAACGGGCCUGGACACGCGCAUUAGCUUGCUGCUGUUGGUAGGUCUUCACUGGUACACAGACGGGGCACCGAAGAUCCUUGCAGUUUUUAUAGUGGCUAAUCAACGACUUUGUGGGACGGCAACGAGGAUACAAACACUGAGGCUCUACACAGCUGUUCAUGUGACUCAGCAGCUUCUGAACAGUAACGCAGUUUCGGCCCGGACACUUCACUCCCGGCCGUUUGCAGGUCCGUGCAUGAAGUAGAAACAAGAGCCAUCUCUGUUGGUUUUGGAACUUGAUAUCGCGAUUUCCAUAUCUACAUGCCGUUCCAGCAGCAUUUUGCAGACUGUGGGAUUCGGAUGUGGUGGAAGCAUGAUCUUGACCAGUUACAGACCCUUCGAUCAUAUUACUAGGUUGAGCUUCGUCCAUUCUGGUAACUCUUUGACGAAAAUCCUCCUGAACGUUCUGUUCACUUGACAUACCAUUGGACUGGGAAGGCCACUGAUCCUGUGGAUUGGAUUCUGAUUUUGCUCCAACAGCAAGGUUGUUAAAGUUGUUGAUAGUAUCCGAUCCCAUAUUCUGCGGGUGCAUCAUCUGCUGAAUCUGUUGGCUGUUUUGAGGAAGUGGCGUGCAUGUAUCAUUCUGACUUGUAACUGAGACAUGUUGAGCGUCUGCUCCCGAGUUCUGAUACUGAUUCUGGAACUGAGAAAGCUGGAGUCGUUCUGAUGCUUGGGAGUGCAAAGCUUCACUAUGGUUCUGCACUCCAGGUUCAUGUUUAACGUUCGUAACCAUGUCAGAAGCCACCUGAGUUUUCCCGGGACCGUCUUUGCUUAUUAAUUUAUGUUGCUGCAGGGCCUGCUGCUUCAAUGUCUGUUGCUGGAUAAAUUUCUGCUGCUGCUGUUGUUGGAUCUGAUUCGGCUGUUGCGGAAAUUGUUGUUGUUGAUGUGACUGCAGAGAAGGGUGAGCUCUGGACACAGACUGGAAACUUGCUGCAUUGAUAUUCUGAGCACUUGUCAUCUUCCCAACCGAUGUUACACCUCCAUGUAAAUUUUUAGAUCCAAGGUUGUCAGGAUUUGUUGUUCUAUAACCUUCCCCUGGAAUAUGAAGGAACGAACAUACUUUAAAUAUUCUGACAGGUUCGUACUAGUGCCAAACCACAAGAAAGAACCAUACAUAUAAAAUGAGAUGAUUAGGACAGCCGAAAAAGAGAGAGACUGAAGAGUUACCUGUGUCUACACUUUUUUUGCUCACUCCAACACCACCAUUUACAGAGUUACUAGCCACACCAGCCGGCUUUGGUUGCAUGUUGUCCGGUCUAUGGCCAGCAGUCACUUGGUUAGACACCAUUUGACUAUUCUGACCACCAGUAUCCUGCCUUUGCUUCUGCUGCUGAGACUGAGGUACCACCGUGGGCUCAGCAGAAAAUCCACCACUGUUGUUACUAGCACCACUGUUAACGAACCCAGGUGUAGGAAUCAUCUGGGGAGCACUUCUUUGAGAACCCAUGUUCCCUCUUGUACCAAGAGAAAAGUUUCUCGGUGAAUUCUGGUAUCCAUUAGACAUAUUACCUGGAAUGAAAUUGCUAAGGUGUCAGAGACUCGUAAGAUUAAAAAAAAUCAGGAAACGUAUCUACGAUCAAACCUCCAUGCAUCCCGCCAGAAGCUAGAAGGUUUCCAGUGUUAACAGCUUUACUUGUGCUGUUGUUGUUUCCAGCUAUAGUAGUAUCAGCAGAAGGUGUAACCAUCGAACUAGGAUUAUCCCCAGUAUGUGGUAAUCUUGGAGUAGGUAUCAUCGUAGUACCCCCACCAGCAUGUGAUAAUCCUGGAGUAGGUAUCAUCAUUCCAACCGAAGGAGAAUUAGCAUGUCGCUGAUUGUAGUUAUUCAAAUGUCUUCCUUUUAUUAGGCUCGUAAUCCUAGACUCAAGGGUUGACCGGUUCACGUAAUCCUCCUGUUAGUAUAAGUUGAAAAGAAAAAAUCUUAAGGAAUGACAUGAGACAACAAGCUGGAUCUAGAGGCAGAUAUAUUUCGAGAUACCUUAGAGACGGCCAUCUUAAAUAGCCCCUCCUCUAAGCGUCUAGCAACAUCCAUAUACUUUGCCUUUGAUGCAGCAUCGGCCUGUGAUGGUUGCCGCUGCUGUAACAUGUUAAACCUAGGAGAUCAAGGAGACUCAGUUAAAAACAGUCCCCCAUGAAGUAAUUAUCAUAAAAUCCCAAGGAGCAUAAACACUAAAGUAUCAGGUCUUAAUCAACAAAGAAGAUAUACAUUAGUAAUGCAGCCAAGAAAGUAAUCAAUCCAUUAUAAGCAAAUAUAAGAUGAAGGCUUACACAAGGGUUUGCAUGUACUGUCUGAGUUUCAAAAUAUCAUGGUCCAUGGGACCAACAAUGUUACGUGAAGGCCCAGCACCAGCUGAUGAAGCUCCAACUACAUUCUGCAUUUGAGAGUUCCCAUUACUCUGCGGAGGCAUUGUCCCUUGGUUCGGAACCUGACCCCCAGACAUCUGUCCCGACAAGUGAGCCUGAACAUUCAUGUUACUUCUUAAACUUUCGUCUCCUUGUCCUAGCUCUUCUUGCAACCAGCACUAACAGACACUGCAUAACUCUUCCACCCCAGAGAGAAAGCUCAUCUCCUAAUCUUAAUUAUUCUUCAAAUAGUCUCACUCAGUGUAGCAGCUCCUGCAAAACAAUCAUAAGACUAUGAUGAUGAUCAAAAGAAAAAACAAAACCCAAUUGCAAUAACCAACAAAGAAAACAAAAUGUAUCAUUCAAAUAAUAUGAAUUAAACCCCUAAAUAAAAUAAAAUAAAAAAACCUAGAAACUCAAUCCAACCUUCAAAUUGAUGCACAAAGAAGCAAACUUGGUACGUUACUAAGUGAUUACGAUGAUCGAAACGCAGUAAGAAGAGAGCAAUAAAGUCGGUGAUGUCGCACGUGUGAAACGGAACCUCACACAAGCCAAGGAAGACGAGAAACAACACAAUACAAUUUCGAAUCAAACGAGCGAAGAGAUUCCGAAACCUAGACGAUGAAAAUAACGAUUUCGAAAAUCGGAGACUUUCUUCGAAUUGGGGAUGGCGCUCGCUCGAUUUUGGGGAUUUUUGUGUUUUUUUUAGGGAUUUUUCGUUUUGAUUUUUGUUUAUAAGUUAAAAAAAAAAAAGACACAUUAAAUAACUAUUACCUUUAUGUUUCUUUUCCAUGUCUGAAUACAUAAAGGAAAAUUUUAAUUGGGGGAAACCGAGGUCGAGAGAGAGAAUCCAACGGACGAGGGAGAAGUGUCGGGUGAUUGUUUACGUUCCUGACCGUCCGAUCCAUAUACAACAAUGUCCUAAUAAUUUACAUUCUUUACCCUUGUAGUUCUGUUUCUUUUCUUUUUGGUACUGAGAGUAACAAAACAAUAAUCAUAAUAGCCCUGGCAUCAAUUUCUAUCGAAUGCUAGACAUUAAGGACGAAUUAGAUAUUUAUAAAUUUUCGGUUUAGAUUUUGAUCAAUUUAUGUCAGAUAUGAAUCAGUUCGGGUCUACGGUUAAAAUACAUGUAAAAUACCUAUAAUUUUUAAGUAUAUUUUGUGUUUAGGUAUUCAGAUAUUUAAGAUCCGAAGAGCCGAAAAAUACUCUUUCAAAGAUCAAACCAGAAACAAUUUAUAACGCGUUUACCAUUGGUACGUACGAUCUAACAGCAAUGCGGUAGCAAAUGUAAAUACUGAAUAAAAAUAGAAAAAGACGAAAACGAAAAAAGACGCUCCCCCAAAUACGCGACUCCGAAGGCGAACCCUAACAAAACUUCAGCUUGCUCAGCCGACGGCGACCUCCGGUGCUCCGGCUCCGGUGUUGACUCCGUCGUCGGCUGUCUCCCUUGUCCCUACGCUUUUCUCUCUUCUCCAUUGUUUCCCCUCCUUUGUUCCAUCUCUUGUUCGUCGAUAUGCCUUCCGUUGUGGGCUCAUCUCCGGCGUCGCUGCCCGGAAGGUUGAGUUCUGGAGCGGUGGUGAGGCGUGUCUAGAGUUGGAGCGUGGGUGGUCUCUCCGCGGUUGUUCUCUGAGAUCUCGUUCAGAUCUGGCCAGAUCUGCCUUGUUGGUGGUCCGUCGGGCUCAGUGGUGGUGCUCUGGUCUCGUUUGGUUCUUCCAGCGGUGGCUUGCGCGGUUGAUGAAGUGAACCUGCGUUCUCGGUAGGGAGGUUAAUGAUUCUCGGAUCUCUUUGCAGACCCUUCUUCUUCUCUCAUCACCAGUGAGAGACUGUUGUGGUAGGCUGAGAUUUUGGGUCCUGGUCGUAUGCCUCGGUGGUGGUGGUGAGCUACUGCCGGCGGUUUCUCUUUGUAGGUGGUUGCGGUUGGUUCUUGUGGCUAGAAGGCUUGACCGUCAAACCUAUGUCGAGGUCUGAGCUCUCCCUGCGUGUCUGAGUUGGAUGUGGCGGUUCUAACGAAGCGAGUAGGUUGGAGCUUUCUUGUAUGGUGAUUUGCAGUCUUCGGUUCUCGAAGGUUGUCCCUUGUGCGAGUGUGCUGGUCCAUGGUGUUGUCGACCUGGUCUACUCUCUCGGUGGCGGCUUGGGUUGCUUCACUAACAGUUAUAGGGCGAGAUUCUUCGGAUUCAAACUCUUGUGGUGUUAGCUUCUAUCAUUGUGCAGGUCCCGGUGGUUGUGGCGAGCUUAUCAUCCACUUGCCUCUCCGAAUAAGAGCGGCUUUCUAGCUUGUUGCUAUGGUGUUUGUGGUUUGGUGGGUCUCUUGAGCUCAAUAGGAGUUUGGGUGCUUGUGAGGUUGGAUAAGGAGUAGUAGAGGAGGCAGGUCUGGUGGAUGAGGUCAACGACAGCCGAUGCUUCGACAAGUGUUUGGUUGGUCGGCCGGAGCAACCUCUAUUGUCGUCUGCUGCAACUUUUUGCCUCAUGAUGCGUCGGUGCUUGAUGCCCAUCGUCGGACUUCCGUGGUAGGUGAAUUUUUUGGAGGCGAGCUUGGGGAGGCCAAUAUUUACCGGCUCGUGACUCAUGGUGUUCAAUAUCGCCUCAACACUGUCUUCCGCAACGCGUGUCGCACACUCCAAGUAGCUUUGUUGAGUCCUUCCACCUUUCGCGCUGGCUCUUGGUUUUGGGUAUAGUAGUCGUGUUUUACACUCUGUUCUUCGUUGUUGUGUUGUAGGUUGUUGUUUUCCGCUACUUGUAACUCUUUGUAAUUUCUGUAAAAAACUCGAAAAUGGUAAUACAAUCUUAACAUGUUUACCAAAAAAAAAAAAAUGUAAAUACUGAAGCAUGGAGUUACACUUAUAUGAUUCCAUCAUUACUUGUAACACAAGUAAUUGAAAAACAUUCGGAUCAUGUUUCAGCGAUAACCCUCAUGGACAUCAGAAUCUCUGCCACCUCUAAAUCCAACUGAUCUCUGUUCUCAGGAACCUUCUCUAUCUCCUGCAUACAACAACAAACAACAACAAAUAGCCGUCUCUUAGUUUUAAGAUUAGGAGCAAUUAUUAUGUCUAGUAUAGGUCUAUUAUGAUCACGUACCAUGGUGGUCUCAGAAACUUCAGGAGUGGUUGUUAUUAUAGUCCCAGGUGCAGAAGAGUUGGCAUUUUGCUGAAUCUGAUUGUCAUCAUUCAAUUUUAUCCUUUUUAUUAACCUUGACAUGCGAGAUUCGAGGGCUGAUGGUUUAACGUAAUCCUCCUGUAAAUUUUAAGUAAUAAAAGAGUGUCACAAACGAAUGAAAGAUCUUCUAAAGUGAGAGCAUGUAGCUAAUAAUUAAGCUUCAGACAAUCUUGUUUAGUUGGAAAUUCUCAGUAUAUCAAAGUUGUGUAACUACCUUUAUGUUAGACAUUUAAUAAAGAGUAUCCUCGUCUAAGUUUCUAGUAACAUACAGAUACUUACCUUUGAUGCAUCGUCAGCUGCACACGGAUUCUGUUUCUGUACCUCGCUGAGGCUGGAAAUAUCAGUUAGAAGAGAAUCCCUCGUUAAUGAAUUCUCAAGGAUAUACCAAGGGAAAGAUAAUUAGUCAACGAUAAAAAAAAACACCAACGUGACAUAAUUGGAAUCGAGGAAAAUAAAAACAGAGCAGACAUGCAGGUUACAUAUCCACAAAAAGUAAUAUGUUUGAUCGUUCCUAGCUCAGAAUGAGAUAAUUAACUGACAGUGAAAUCAGUGCAAGAAGAACCAGUUUAGCUAAAAAAGGUUGAAGGCUUACACAAGCUUUCGCAUGUACUCUUGAAGAUCAAGGAGGAUCAGUUAAAAAUAGCCCACCAUGAAGUAACUAUCAAGAAAAUCUAAGGGAAUAGAACACUAAAUUUAUCAUUACUUAAGCAUAAAAGAAAAUAUACACUAAUGCAGCCAAGACAGUAAUCAGUUGGAUCAUGUCCCCACUCCCCAGCCCACAUUGAGACCAUAUUAACCAGACAUGCAUGAUAUGGUAGACAGACAAAAAUGGUGUAAACUAAAAGUUGAAGGCUGGUUCAUUCAGGGGUAGUCCUGGACAUAACCAACUGAAAAGUGAAACAUUGGUCUUUAGUCCCAAAAAUUUUAAAAAUAAUUGAUAUAGAAAGAAGUUCUCAAAUUUGUAAAAAUGUUUUUUUAAUAACAACUCUUACUAAAUUGUUUAUAGCUAGCAAAAUCUUAGGAUCGCUACUAGGUUCACGUAGAUGUAACAUGUUAAAAGUGGAACAUGUGGAAGAUCAAUGGGGUCAAUUAGAAAUCCCCAUUAAGUUAUAACCAAAAAAAAAUCCUCGAACACUAAAAGAAUUUAUAACAGGCAGGUUUGAUCAUUAAUCUCAGCCCAGCAGACAACAUGAACUCAAAGCAAUGCAAUAUGGUGGGAAGAAGCAAGGCUUACACAAGCGUUCUCAUGUCCUCUCGGAGUUUCAAAUUACCGGAAGUAUCAGCACAACGAGGAGCACCAGAACCAGCUCCAGCAGAGGCCCGUACUGAGUCGUUUGAUACUCGAGCUUUGUCCACUUUACUGCUUUUGAUUUUCAAACCGGCCAGGGCACGCUCAUUAGCUUGUUGCUUACGGUAUGUCCUCACUGGUACACAGACGGGGCACCAGAGAUCCUUGCAUUUUACAUAGUGGCUAAUCAACGACUUUGUGGGACGACAACGAGGAUACAAGCAUUGAGGCUCUACACAACUGUUCAUGUGACUCAGUAGCUUCUGAACCGUAACGCAAUUUCGUCCCGGGCACUUCACUCCUGGCCGUUUGCAGGUCCGUGCAUGAAGUAGAAACAAGACCCAUCUCUGCUGUUUAUGAAACUUGUUGUGAACCAUCUUUGUUGGUUUCAGAGCUCAAUAAAAACCAACCUCCCGAGAUCACACGGACACCAAAAGGUUACUAGUGAUUGCGAUUACUGAUUCUCCACAACGCACAAUGAAGUCCGGUGAUGAGACCUAAAAAUGGAUUUAUUUAUGUGAAUUCUUCGAAUCUAGGGUUCCUAUAUUUCCUGUGAAACUUAUAUCUUAUUCUCUUAUUUCAUUUUAAUUGUUGUUUUAGAUUUACAUUAAGAAAACAUUUAAUUUUGUAUAUUUUUAAAAUAAAAAUAUAUUUACUUAUAUACCUAAACAUAUUUCAACCAAUAGAAAAAUAAAUAAACUGAAGAAUAUUAUUAAUAAAUUUUGCAUUGAAAUCCUAAAAUAAUUUAUUUUGAAAUGAAAUUUUACUGUAAACUGAAACGGAAAGAGUAUUUGGUAAGUGAAAGAUUUAUUAUAAAUUUUUUAUUUUCAGUUUUUUUACUUGCUCUGAUUUUUUUCUUUGUGUGGGAUCUAGACUCGAGUAGCAGCUCCGUUGAAUCAUAACUUCAUAUUCCGUGGAAGCCCCCUUACUAAUUUGAUGAAAAGAUAAUUAAUGAUUCUACACUUGAUAUGAGUUUCGAGUAACGAGCUAAUAUUAUCUCCAAUGUAAAACUCCAUAAUAAAAUUAAGUUUACACAAACCCUACUAUAUUGUUAGAAUGAAAAAUUAAAUAAUGUAAAAAUAAAACGAUUACUCUAUUUAUAGAAUAAAUCUAUUUUCUACUUCAUAGGAAUGGAGCAUUUUUUUUCCAAACUUAUCGAGUUCGGAUCUUUCGAGUCCUAGACAUUGAGGACCAACUAGAUAUUUAGAAGUUUUUGGUUCGGAUAUGAGUUAUUUCCUUAUAAAACGGUUCUGAUCUACCGUUGUGACAAAAAAAAAAGAUCUACAGUUAAAAUAUUUUUAAGUAUAUUUUGUGUUCAGGUCGGUUCAGAUAUUUAAGACCGGGAAAAGACCCGAAGUAUCCGGAGAGCCAAAAAAUACUCGAAACCCCAAAAAAAUAUUCAAAGAUCAAACCGGAAACAAAUUAUAACCCGUGUCACCAUUGGUACGUGCGAUCUUACAAGCAAUGCGGUAGCAAAUGUAAAUACUGAAGCAUGGAGUUACACUUAUAUGAUUUCAUCAUUACUUGUAACCAAGGUUCUAAAAAUCGCUCUAGGUCGCGCCUAGGUCCCCGCAUAGGCGGCAACUCAGUCCUAUCCGAAACGAUUUUCUUAAAAUCCGAUUUAUAUGAUUUAAAUUGGUUUAAACUGUUUUAAAUCGGUUAAAAUUGGUUAAAAUCGAUAUAAACUGUCUAUAUAUGUUAAAUUAAGCAAUAAUAUUAUUACAAAUCUAUAAAUUUGUCUACUUUCUUAUGUUUGUAUAUCUAAUUUUGAUAAUUCAUCAGAAUAAUUUUAUAAUUAAAUUUUAAAAUUAAAAUAUGUCAUAUAAAUGUAUAAAAUAUAUAAAAUAAAUCAAUAAUUUGUUAACGCCUAGGCCUCGCCUAUACCCCAAAUAAUCCGCCUAAUCGUUAGUCCUCUAUAAAGCGCUUAGUUACCGCCUAACGAUUUUUAGAACAUUGCUUGUAACAUAAGUAAUUAAAAAACAUUCGGAUCAUGUUUCAGCGAUAAACCCUCAGGGACACCAGAAUUUCUGCCACCUCUAUCUCCAACUGAUCUAUGUUCUCAGGAACCUUCUCUAUCUCCUGCAUAGAACAACAAAUAAUCGUCUCUUAGUUUAAAGAUUAUGAGCGAUUAUUAUAUAUAGGUCUAUUAUGAUCACGUACCAUCGUGGUCUCAGCAUAAACUUCAGGAGCGGUUGUUAUCAUUGUCCCAGGUGCAGAAGAGUUGGCAUUUUGCUGAAUCUGAUUGUAAUCAUUCAAUUUUAUCCUUUUUCUUAAGCUUGACCAACGAGAAACGAGGGUUGAUGGGUUAGUGUAAUCCUCCUGUAAAUUUGAAGUUAUAAAAUUAAGUGUCACAAACGAGAGAAAGACUUUUAAAGUGAGAGCAUGCAGCUAAUAAAGCUUCAGACAGUCUUGUUUAGUUGGAAUGCCUUAGUAAAUCAAAGUUGUGUAAAUACCUUUGUGUUAGAUACUUACCUUUGAUGCAUCAUCAGCUGCACGUGGAUUCUGUUUCUCUACCUCGCUGAGGCUGGAAAGAUCAGUAAGAAGAGAAUCCCUCGUUAAUGAAUUCUCAAGGAUAUACCAAGGGAAAGACAAUUAGUCAACGAUAAAAAAACACCAACGUGACAUAAUUGGAAUCGAGGAAAAUAAAAACAGAGCAGACAUGCAGGUUACGUAUCCAAAAAAGUCAAAAAUAAGUUCGACCAUUCCUAGCUCAGAUUGAGAUAAUUAACUGACAGUGAAAUCGGUGCAAGAAGAACCAGUGUAGCUAAAAUGUUGAAGGCUUUACAAAAGGUUUCGCAUGUACUCUUGAAGAUCAAGGAGACUCAGUUAAAAACAGCCCACCACGAAGUAACUAUCAAGAAAAUCUAAAGGGAAUAGAAUACUAAAUUAGCAGUAAUUAAGCAUAAAAGAAAAUAUCAGUAAUGCAGCCAAGACAGUAAUCAGUUGGAUCAUGUCCCUAGCCCACAUUGAGACCAUACUAACGAGACAUACAUGAUAUGGUAGACAGACACAAAUGGUGUAAACUAAAAGUUGAAGGCUGGUUCAUUCAGCGGUUGUCCUGAGCAUAACCAACUGAAACAUUGGUCUUUAGUCCCAAAAUUUUUUAAAAUAAUUUACAUAGAAAGUAGUUCUCAAAUUUGUAAAAAUAUUUUUUAAUACUACUAGGUUCAUGUAGAUGUAACAUGUUAAAAGUGGAACACUUGGAAGAUCAAUGGGGUCAAUUAGAAAUAGUCCCCCAUGAACACUACAAGAAAACAGCGGUAUUCUGACGGACGUUCCGACGGAAAAUGAAUUCCUCGGAAUAUACCGAGGCAUUUCCGAGGCAAUUCCGAGGAAACACAAAAUUUUUCUUCCUCGGUAUUCCGUCGGAAUAUUCCGACGGAAUUCCGAGGAAAAUUCAUCUCGUCGGAAUAUUCCGACGGAAUACCGAGGAAACUAGUAUACCUCGGAAAAAACCGAUGAAUUCCGAGGAAAUAUUAUAGACGUUAGAGAGCCGUUGGAGAGCCGUUGGGGGGAUUUUAAAAAUUCCGAGGAAAUUCCGACGAACUAGCCGUUUGCAUCGGAAUUCCGUCGGAAUUUCCUCGGACCGUCGGCAGGAUUUCAACUAUAAAUACAAGCACCCCUCUUCCUCUUCAUUCACUCCAUAUCUUCAUCCUCCCUCUCACUUUCUUUACACACGAAUUUGAUUCAUAAAAAACAUGUAUUCUUCAAAUUAUUUUCGUUCUUGGAUCGAUCGACCUCAUUUGGAUCCGAACACGAGAUUGCUUACGGAAGAAUACCAACAAGGUAUAACCGAAUUCAUGGGGUUAGUUCACCGACAACCGGAAGCAAAAACAGGUAUGUUAAGAUGUCCUUGCUCUAAUUGUAAAAAUAAAAAAGUUAUUAAAGAAUGGGAUGUUUGGACUCAUCUAUAUUUGAGUGGGUUUACACGAAGUUACAAAAUUUGGUAUCAUCAUGGAGAAACUGAUUAUGAACUUGGUAGUACUAGCGAACCUCAGCCAGCGGUUAGAUUAGAAGAUCCAAUUAGAACGGAUGUAGAUUACGGUGUAGGUACUGAGCAGAUGGUAAAUGAUCAUUUUAGAGGGGAAGAUUUACCCAAUGCCGAAGCUAGGAGAUUUUAUGAUAUGUUGGAUGCUGGAAAGCAACCAUUGUACGAAGGUUGCAGAGAUGGUCAUUCAGCUUUAUCAUCUGCUACAAGAUUGAUGGGCAUUAAGACGGAUUAUAAUUUGGCUGAAGACUGUGUGGAUGCGAUUGCUGAUUAUGUAAAAGGUAUUCUACCCGAAGAUAAUGUAGCUCCUGGCUCAUACUACGAGGUUCAGAAACUCGUAGCUGGUCUUGGUUUAUCGUAUCAGGUAAUAGAUGUAUGCAGAGACAACUGCAUGAUUUAUUGGAGGGCGGAUGAACAGCGGGUUUCAUGCAAAUUUUGUGGGAAGCCUCGUUAUAAAGAUACGAGUGGAAGAGUUCCAGUACCAUAUAAAAGGAUGUGGUAUUUGCCUUUGACGGAAAGGUUGCAGAGGCUGUAUCUGUCUGAACGCACAGCGAAACCAAUGAGAUGGCAUGCGGAGCACUCAACAGAUGGUGAGAUCAGACAUCCUUCAGAUGCAAAAGCGUGGAAGCAUUUCCAAUCAAAGUAUCCCGACUUUGCGUAUGAGAGAAGAAAUGUCUACCUUGGAUUAUGUACUGAUGGUUUCAGCCCGUUUGGCAAGAGUGGAAGACAGUAUUCUCUAUGGCCAGUCAUUCUUACACCAUACAACCUACCCCCAAACUUGUGCUUGCGACGAGAGUUUUUGUUUCUCUCGAUUCUCGUUCCCGGACCAGAGCAUCCUAAGAGAUCACUUGAUGUGUUUCUUCAGCCACUAAUAUAUGAGUUGCAACAACUAUGGACUCAAGGUGCUGAAACAUACGAUGUUUCGUAUAAAGAAAACUUUCAAAUGCGGGCAGUACUAAUGUGGACAAUAAGUGAUUUUCCAGCAUAUGGUAUGUUAUCUGGAUGGACAACGCAUGGAAGGCUAUCAUGUCCAUAUUGUCAAGAUAACACUGAUGCUUUCCAACUAAAACACGGAAGGAAAACGUGUUGGUUUGACUGUCACAGGAGAUUUCUACCACCAGAUCAUCCAUAUCGUAGAAGUAGGAAUUUGUUUACGAAGAACAAGAGGGUGUUUGACAGUCCACCUCCGGAAAUUCGUGGGAAAGAUUUGAAGACACAACUUAGAGAUUUUGGUGCAGAAAGGACGCCAGACGUCGGUGGACAUGAGCAUUUUCCGGUAGAUGGUGUUGGAAACCUACAUAACUGGCACAAAAAAAGUAUUUUUUGGGAUCUGCCAUACUGGGAGGAUCAUCUACUAAGGCAUAAUUUAGAUGUCAUGCAUAUCGAGAAGAACUUUUUUGACAAUCUCAUGAACACGAUCCUUAAUGUUCAAGGUAAAACAAAGGAUAAUUUGAAGUCAAGACUCGAUUUAGUCGAUAUAUGUGCUCGUUCAGAACUUCAUGUUGAUGAGAGUGGUAGGGCUCCUUUUCCCAUAUACCGACUUGAUGCAGCGGGAAAGGAUGCGUUCUUUGAUUGGAUUUCAAACGAUGUGGAAUUUCCAGACGGUUACGCAUCUAAUUUGCGUAACUGUAUCGACAGAAAGGAAGGAAAGUUUACUGGCUUGAAAAGCCAUGAUUGCCAUGUAAUGAUGCAGCGUCUCCUUCCGUUUGCCUUCAAGGAACUAUUACCACGAAAUGUUCAUAAAGCAAUUGCAGGGAUAAGUGGUUUCUUCCGCGAUUUAUGCACAAGAUCAGUGACUCUUGAAGGUAUUGAAAAUUUGAAGACUAACAUAGCUGUGAUUCAGUGCAACCUUGAGAAGAUAUUUCCUCCCUCAUUUUUUGAUGUUAUGGAGCAUCUUGUUAUUCACCUGGUAAGAGAAUUGGAACUUGGUGGUCCUGUGCAGUAUAGAUGGAUGUAUCUGUAUGAGCGGUAUAUGUUCCAUUUGAAGAAGAUGGUGAAAAAUUUAAGUAGGGUGGAAGGGUCUAUAGUCGCACAGAUGAUCAAUGAAGAAACUUCAAACUUUGCCGAGUACUACUUUCCAACAGAAGUUCAGACCAAAAACAGAAGACCUGCUCGGCAUGAUGAUAGAGGCGAACGGGCAACAUAUCAUUGGAAGGUUCCAGACAUUUUCACAGACGUUGGACGACUUAGCGGAAAACCAAAGGACCGUCGACUUACUGAUCAGGAGCGCAGUCAUUUGCAAACAUAUUUACUCACCAACUGUGAAGAUGUUCUUCAAUAUGAAAGGAUUUUCAUGGCAGAAAAGCGGUUAGAAUAUAGAUACGCCACAGAGGACGAACUAGAAGAAAUGAAGCAGAGAGAAUUUGGUGGAUGGAUGUUUACUUAUGUGAGUGAUGGUUUGGCCAGAGGUGAAACAUUUGACGAUUGGAUACGCGAGAUGGUCGUUGGACCAAACUUUGUUGUGAAGUCAUAUCCGAGAUUUUGUACUCGAGGAUAUGCAUUCACAACUCAGAAGAGGAGACGUUCGAGUACGACUUACGAUGCUGGUGUUUGUUCUGCAUCAGGAGAUGAUGUAUACUACGGACACAUAAAUGAGAUUUUGGAAAUCAAGUAUUUGGGCAUGGUUGGAUUGCGCUGUACUGUUUUCUAUUGUGACUGGCACGACAACACUCCAGAUCGAGGUGUGAGAACAGAUGCAUUUGGUGUUACAUCAGUAAAUUCAAGACGGAAGCUGCAAUAUUAUGAUCCUUUCAUUCUUGCUUCUCAGGCCGAUCAGGUUUGUUAUAUCAAGUACCCCCGGGUAAGGAACAGAGAUGAUCCAUGGGUUACUGUUACAAGACUCAACCCGAGAGGCCGAGUUCAGGGAAGUUCUGAGCUGGAAGACCCACUACAACCAAGCACAUCCGGCAACUUAAGUGCAUCCGGGAAGUUCUGAUUCAUGGGUUACUGUUACUGUUUACUUAUUAAUAAUUUAUUUUUUUUAUUAGGUUCAACCGAUCCGGGAACGGGAUCAGCGCAUGGAUCAACCGUAUGAUGUACUCGGCCCUCGACAGCGGACAUCCGACUUUCACUCACUUCCCUGUCGAGAAGCAGCAUCUGUGGUUUCGUCAGUUUGCGGUAAGUAUUCUAAUUUUUAAAUUAUAUUUUUUAUAUUAUUAAAACUAUUUUUUGUAAUUAUUAAACUAUUUUCUAUAUUUAUUAGAUAUUUUAAAUAUUAUUAAAACUUAUUUUUUGUAAUUAUUAAACUAUUUUCUAUAUUUAUUAGACAUUUUAAAUAUUAUUAAAACUUAUUUUUUGAAAUUAUUAAACUAUUAUAUUUUUGUGCUUAAAAACUAUUUUUAAACUAUUUCAGCAAGAAUUCAACUGGAAUUCCGAUGAUACGCUCUCUAUCUAUCACCAUUUUGUCCAUAAAGUUAUGGACAACUAUGGGAAGCAGAUGUACGAGUGGAAGAAGAAGUGGGAAGUAAACAAGGUAGUUUUUAAUUUAUUAAACUAUUUUUAAAAUUAUUAAAUGUUUUUUUUUAAAUUAAAAGGUCCCAAAGUCGAUGAACGACACGGUCUGGAAGGAGUUGUGUGCGCAUUGGGAUAAAGAAGAGACGAAAGAAACUUCUUCCACCAACUCCAACAACCGCAGGAGCGACCGUAAAGGAAAGGGCAUCUACAAGCAUAACUUGGGUGCUCAAUCUAUUGCCACUCUGGCGGAUCGCAUGGUAAGCUCAACCGCUUUUUCUUCAAUUAUUUAAGUUUCAGAAUUUUAUUUUUUUGCAUUUUCAAAUUUCUAAUGUUUGUCUAAUUUAUUUUUUUUCAAGGCGGAAGAAAAUGAAGGCCACCCAGUUGAUGAUCUCGCCCUUAUGAAAAGGGCGUAUACCAACAAGAAGACCGGCCAGAUUGAUGAUGGUCUUGUGAGGGACGUGGUCGACCUGGUCCAAACUCAGGUGUAUGACGAAGUGUCUCAGCUUCAAACCGAUGAUGACGAUUCGACGGCCUCGACCAACUUGUCUCGGGUUCGAAUCAACGAAAUCGUUGAAUCGGUAAGUUUUUUUUUUUAAAGUUCAAUUUAAUUAUUUCUUGAUUUUUAUUUUAUCAUCAAUUUAAAUUAUCUAAACUUGGUUAUUUAUAUUUCAGUCGGUUCCAAAGAAAAAGGGACGUUUGGUCGGUUUGGGUCGUCGCUCCCGGUCGGCUGCUCCUUCUUCUGCACCACAUGCGUAUGUUGAUCCAGAAGUUCUUACGGCUCAGCUGAAGGAUAAGGAUGAUCGGAUAUCUGCGUUGGAGACCCAGAUGGCAGCUCAACAGGCGGGCUAUGAGACCCAGAAGAGGCUGAACGAGCAGAUGAUGGAGAUGAUGAAGAGGAUGUACCCGAACGAGACGUUCCCGAACAUUCAAGACCCGUAGUUUUUUUUUUUUCCAAAAACUCUGAAUGUUUUAUUUAAAUUUGAAUAUUAUCUACUAUGUUUUAUUUUAUGUUUUAUUCAAUUUUAAUUUUAAAUUUUAAAAAUUUUAAUUUUUAAAAAUAAAAUUAAUUUUUAAAAAAAUAAAUUUUAAAAAAAAAAAAAAUUUCAAAAUUCCGAGGGAAUGGAAUUCCUCGGAAAAUUCCGAGGAACUUUCUCCCCUCGGCAAUUUCCGACGAACUUUAAGUUCCUCGGAAUUUUCCGAGGGAAAAAGUUCCUCGGAAUUUUCCGAGGAACUCCAUUCCCUCGGAAUUUUCCGAGGGAAGAAAGUUCCUCGGAAAAGUCCGAGGAACAUUUGUUCCUCGAUAUUUUCCGAUAAACAUUUCGAGGAUUAUUUCGUCGAAACUUCCGAGGAUUGGACCAUCGGAAUUCCCUCGGUGUUUUCCGAGGAAUCUUCCGACGAACUUCGUGUCCUCGGAGUUUCCUCGGAAUUUUGUUUCCUCGGAAUUCCGUCGGAAUUUUCCGACAGAAUUCCGAGGAAGUAUGAAAUUUCGAGGAGAUAUUUCCGAGGACUUGUUUCGUCGGUAUGUCCUCGGAAUAGCGUUAUUCCGACGACAUACCGACGAUUUUUUCCCUCAGUAUCCCGAUGUUUUCUUGUAGUGGAAGUUAUAACCAAAAAAAAUCUCGAAAAAUAAAAGAAUUUAUAACAGGCAGGUUUGAUCAUUAAUCUCAGCCCAGCAGACAACAUGAACUCAAAGCAAUGCAAUAUGGUGGGAAGAAGCAAGGCUUACACAAGCGUUCUCAUGUCCUCUCGAAGUUUCAAGUUAUCGGAAGUAUCAGCACAAUGAGGAGCACCAGAACCAGCUCCAGCAGAGGCCCGUACUGACUCGUUUGAUACUCGAGCUUUGUCCACUUUACUGCUUUUGAUUUUCAAACCGGCCAGGGCACGCUCAUUAGCUUGUUGCUUACGGUAUGUCCUCACUGGUACACAGACGGGGCACCGAAGAUCCUUGCAGUCUGUAUAGUGGCUAAUCAACGACUUUGUGCGAUGACAACGAGGAUACAAACACUGAGGCUCUGCACAACUGUUCAUGUGACUCAGUAGCUUCUGAACAGUAACGCAAUUUUUCCCCUGACACUUCACUCCUGACCGUUUGCAGGUCCGUGCAUGAAGUAGAAACAAGAGCCA